This 987-nucleotide long non-coding RNA is filed under the name Junco hyemalis (dark-eyed junco). RNAcentral describes it as "lncRNA (ENSJHYG00000013729.1)". Lineage: Eukaryota; Metazoa; Chordata; Aves; Passeriformes; Passerellidae. The record is from RNAcentral.
AUCACCCCUCUGUUCUGCUGUCUUAUAAAUUAAUGGUACCACACGAGCAUGUUAAAGAGAUGGAAUUAUAUUUAGCCUGGCAUACUAAAACAACAAUUCUUUCUGCUAAGUCUCAAUCAAUAUCACUGCUGUAGCAUUGCAGAAGAUGGAAAACUCAAGCUCACAAACUCCAGGAUAUUUGGGAUCUGCUCCAGCUCCUGUUAAGACAGCUCAGAAACCAGGAGACAGCAUGGAAAAGGACAGAUCAUGGAAAACACCCAAAGACCUCUUCGCAUGUGUUUGAGCUCUUGCACAGUCAACUUUUUAUUGGCUUCAAAUUGUGAUAGCAUCCCAGAAGGUUAUCAUUAGAUGAAAAAGCAAUCUUGGACUGUGAAGGUAGGAAGAUUCUCUGUUCUCUCAGGAAAGACAAAGGAUGGCUAAUGUUGGAAGAUGGUGAGAGUACUUUUUGUUCAGCUUUCUGCCGAGCCGUCCCAGCGCAGCGGUUCCCUCCUCUGAGGUUACAGCCUCCCCAAGGGUUGGAACUGCCCUCCCUCUGCAGCCUGAGAACCCAAAAUGUUGGCUGAGGACCUCCUUCCUUCUCCUCACCUCGGUAAGUGGCUACAAGUCAGUGCCGUUUAAAAUUUAAUCAGUCUCGUCAUAACAGGACACAGUUCUUGGAUUUUAACCCAUCUUCUACACAAACCACUAAAUUCAGCCACACUAACUGCCUCCUGACAGAACCUUUAUCUCAAGAACCUCUUAAUGAGCUCUCAUUAGCACAAAUUGGCCCUGAAUAUCUCACCACUUCCUAUCUCCUGCUUUCUCUGCAAUCCAUUAGCAUCUGUUAGCAGCCUCGUUUGAACAAUUAAACUAUACGGUUUCUAGAAACACACAAGAAACACCAGGUUCUACUGUUAGACCUGUGACUUUGAGAGACCUGGGAAGGGAUUCACACGGCCCAGCUUAACAGAGCCCAAAUUCUACCUGCACUUCAUUGUUCUCAGAGAA